UACGUAGGGACCAAGCGUUGUUCGGAUUUACUGGGCGUAGAGGGCGCGUAGGCGGCAAUUCAAGUCAUCUGUGAAAUCUCCGGGCUUAACUCGGAACGGUCAGAUGAUACUGCUUUGCUAGAGUACAGAAGGGGCAAUCGGAAUUCUUGGUGUAGCGGUGAAAUGCGUAGAUAUCAAGAGGAACACCUGAGGUGAAGACGGGUUGCUGGGCUGAUACUGACGCUGAGGCGCGAAAGCUAGGGUAGCAAACGGG
RNAcentral lists this ribosomal RNA (253 nucleotides) under uncultured bacterium. RNAcentral's name for it is "partial 16S ribosomal RNA". It matches the Rfam family "Bacterial small subunit ribosomal RNA", at positions 524 to 776 of the family's 1533-position model. The record is from RNAcentral.